AACGUAGGUGACAAGCGUUAUCCGGAUUUACUGGGCGUAAAGCGCGUUCAGGCGGUUUGGCAAGUCGGGCAUGAAAUCUCCUGGCUCAACCAGGAGGGGCUGUCCGAUACUUCCAGACUUGAGGGCAGUAGAGGGUGGUGGAAUUCCGGGUGUAGUGGUGAAAUGCGUAGAUAUCAGGAGGAACACCGAUAGCGAAGGCAGCUCGCUGGGACGGUACUGACGCUGAGGUGCGAAAGCGUGGGGAGCGAACAGG
This 253-nucleotide ribosomal RNA is filed under the name uncultured bacterium. RNAcentral's name for it is "partial 16S ribosomal RNA". It matches the Rfam family "Bacterial small subunit ribosomal RNA", at positions 524 to 776 of the family's 1533-position model. The record is from RNAcentral.